ACAUGCUGUACUCUUGGCAAUUGCCAUUUGCAUUAAAACAGGAUGAUUUGUGGAACUGAAGGCUUGAGACCCUUGCAGACUAUCCCACCCACCUCGGGCUGUCCCAGGAAAUGCCAGAGGCUGGGGCUGUAGCUUCCUUGGGGGAGAAGGGCUGGCCUUGCCCCGGGCAAAACAGGUCCCCAAAGUCACAGCCCCAUUCCUUUCCAGGUGCACACUGGCCAUGGAACCACAGAAGGUGCCUCAGCCUCCCAGAGAGAGCCACAUUCAUUGGGUUCAAGUCCCUAGUCAGGGCAAGAGUGCAGGUGAAGCCAGACCUGGGAUGGGGAUCAGUGCUGUGUGUGGACCUGGGCCCGGGACUGUAGGACUCCAUCCUCCAUCGCAGGGAAAUGCUGCAGCAGGGAGCCUCCAACGGUCGGCUGUCAGAGCUACCUUGCCCAACAUCACAGGUAUAACAGUAACUCAUGCUCUGUAAUAAAUUGCCCCAAAACAUGGGAGCUUAAAACAACAAUUAUUAUCUUGAAGUUUCUGUGAAUUAGGAAUUUGAAAGCCACUUAGGGGGGUGGUUCUGGCUUAGGGUUUCUGAUGAGGUUGCAGUCGAACUGUCGACCAGGACUUCAGUCAUUGGACCCAGUCCCCUGACUGGGGCCGGGGGACUGGCUUUUAAAGGUGUCUCACUAGAAUGGCUGGGGGUGGGAG
Long non-coding RNA from Panthera uncia (snow leopard), 696 nucleotides. RefSeq lists it as uncharacterized. The record is from RefSeq and is a predicted model, not a curated record. NCBI's taxonomy places the organism in Eukaryota, Metazoa, Chordata, Mammalia, Carnivora, Felidae. The transcript has 3 exons.